AAGUCGUAACAAGGUUUCCGUAGGUGAAAAAACAUUGCCAAAAGAACUACUGCUCGAUUGUAACUGUUCCAAUGUUCGCACGUAGCCAGAGGUCUCUGAAUCACUACAACUUUUCGGGCAAUGAUUUAUCAGAGAUUGCGAACUACGCGGGUUACAAGAGCAGGAUAAAGGUUCACGGGGGGGGGGGUUUAACGUUUGGAUACGUGUUAAUGAUCCUUCCGCAGGCCCAAGCAGUCAGUGUCGGAAAGUGUCAUUGAUUGUGCAAGGAUAGCGCUUCUACGAUUCCUGUAGACCGUACACUCGGGCAGGAGCUUUGCCAAAGGGUCCCCAUGCCCCCUAAUAACCCCACAGUUUAUUGUGAACCUCAAUGUAAUACAUUGGGUAAAAAAACCGAACAACUGUUAACAAUGGAUAUCUUGGUUCUC
Molecule: unclassified non-coding RNA, 425 nt
Filed under: fungal sp.
Lineage: Eukaryota; Fungi
Description: partial internal transcribed spacer region
Source: RNAcentral